This 301-nucleotide ribosomal RNA is filed under the name uncultured bacterium. RNAcentral's name for it is "partial 16S ribosomal RNA". It matches the Rfam family "Bacterial small subunit ribosomal RNA", at positions 509 to 809 of the family's 1533-position model. The record is from RNAcentral.
CAGCAGCCACGGUAAUACGGAGGGGGCUAGCGUUGUUCGGAAUUACUGGGCGUAAAGCGUACGUAGGCGGCUUUGUAAGUUAGAGGUGAAAGCCUGGUGCUCAACACCAGAACUGCCUUUAAGACUGCAUCGCUUGAACGUCGGAGAGGUGAGUGGAAUUCCGAGUGUAGAGGUGAAAUUCGUAGAUAUUCGGAAGAACACCAGUGGCGAAGGCGGCUCACUGGACGACUGUUGACGCUGAGGUACGAAAGCGUGGGGAGCAAACAGGAUUAGAUACCCCGGUAGUCCCUGUCUCUUAUAA